Molecule: long non-coding RNA, 5409 nt
Filed under: Capra hircus (goat)
Lineage: Eukaryota; Metazoa; Chordata; Mammalia; Artiodactyla; Bovidae
Description: lncRNA (ENSCHIG00000006832.1)
Source: RNAcentral
GGACAGGUCUGCUCGUCUGCUUCUGGUGCGCAGUGCCCACGGCAGUGCCCACGGGGCUGCAGAUGGGUGUGUUGUGUCCCCUUCUGGUACCAUGCUCCCGCAGGGGUUUCAGGGUCUAUGCGCAGUUGUCUGGGGCUUCUGAAGCUCAGUGUCCUGUCUCAUGGAGGGUCAGCCUGAUGAUUCUGCCCCUGGUCCCACAGAGCUUGCCCGGGAGCCUCUCCUGUGUGCACAGAGCACGGCCUUGGAGUUGGAGACAGAGGUGCCGGCUGGAGACUUGGGUUUGGAAACCGCACACAGGGCUCAGCUUGUGCUUCUUCCAGUGGAGCUCAAGGAAGAAAUUGAUCUCUUAAAAGUAGAAAAUAGAAAUUUGCAGGAGAAGUUGCAGCGUGAAAUCUGCCUGAAAGAGGACUUGGAGAAAGUGAAACAGAAUUUAGUUGAAGCUCACCAGGAAGAACUGAAGAGUGCUGAAGAGAGGAUUGAGCAAAUGAAACAGGAACUCAGGGAGAGAGAGGCUGAGUGGAAAGUUACAAGUGAGGACCUGCGGAGAGGGGCUGAAGAGAGGCUGACGAAGAUGCUCCUUGACCUGCGAGAACAGGUGGAGUCUGAGAAGCGGUCCAUGAUGAACAGGUUUGAGCUUCGAGAAUCCGAAAUGAGGCAACUUCAAGACCAGCAGGCAGCUCAGAUCCUGGACCUGGAGGGGUCACUAGUGGAACAACAGGGCCGCCUUCGGCAGCUGGAGCUCGGACUCCCUGGAGAUGAGUCUCUGCGGUGCAGCCAGUGUGGCCGGGAGCUGGGCUGCGGCCCAGCCCCAGGGGCCCAGGACCAGGAGCUCGCCAUGCUCCACCUAAAGGAGGACUGCGCCCUCCAGCUGAAGGUGGCCCAGAGCAGGUUUUUGGAGGAACGUAGAGCAAUCACAGAGAAACUGGCCGCAGAGCAAGAUGCCUUCCUGCAGGAGGCCCAGAAGCAGCAUGCGCACGAGCUGCAGCUCCUCCAGGAGGGGCACCAGCGGCAUAUCCUGUCCCUGACCACGGAGCUGGAGACCAGGCGCCAGGCCGAGGUGGAUGCGCUGAGGUCUUCGUUCGAGCGUGAGCGGUGGGCCCUGGCAGAGGCGCGUGAGGCUGAGUCGCAGGUGAAACACGCUGCUGAAGUCAGUGUGUUGGAGGCCAGACACGCGUCACACCUGGAUGCUCUGCGCUUGCAGUACCUGUCUGAGUUGCAGGCCGUGCAGGGCAGGCAUCGGCGGGCCCUGGAGCUGCUGCGGCUGGACCUGGAGGAGCGGCUGCAGAAGGAGGAUGUGGCUCACCACGGGGUCUUGACCCAGGUGCUGGAGCUGCUGGAGCUGCGAUGUGCCGAAGAGCCUCAGUCCGCAGAGGACAGCCUGAGAGGGGAUGGGAGCGUGGAGCCCCCAGAGGGUGUGAGAGCCCUCUGGCUGCACGGGGCUCGCAAGGUGAGGUGUGUGGAUGGGGCGGGGACAGGGACUUUGCCCUUCCCUAGGACCUGCUCAUGUCAGCUGCACGCAUGUCUGGUGCCCCUGCCCUCUGCCCCCCACCAGCCAUGGGUUUCCUGGUGAGGCAGGUACAGAACAGUGGGUUUUACGGCACUUUUUGGUCGCAGCUCCUUGGUGAAGGCUUUUGGCAGCCGGUGUCCAGGUGUGGCCUUUCCUGUGAGCUUGCAGUGGGUUCACUGUGCUCCUUGGGGCUUGUGUUGUUUCUGUGAGGUAGAGCGCUUUGUCCUGUGUCUGGGGCGGUCUGUGUCGGGCAGCGAUUGUCCCCGUGGUGGGUGCUCUCUGGAGGUGGCCCCGUGGCCCUGCCAGCACCAGGCUUGCCUUGUCUGCAGGCCCCUGGCCCCAUGCGUUGUGAGCAGGACAUAUUGGUUAGAAGUUGAAGUCAGCGUGGGGGCACAUUGCUCUGCACUGACUUGGCAGAUGUGCAUGCCCGGCCCUCAGAAACAGUCCUGUUCUGUGGCUUCGUGCUUUGUCACGUCACAAGUAGGUACUCCAGGUCACAAAGCAGGAAACCUCAGCCUUGUGGAAACACAGAUACCAGGAGAACCUUCGUUUCCGACUGAGACGUGCUUUGUGUAUGAGUGGAUGUUCCCAGGAGGGUUUCGUCCUCUGGUCUGGUUCAGCUUGUCUAAGGAUGGGAGGAAAAGGGCAACCCAACCUGCGGAGGCGGUGGGGCUUCACUUCACACGUUGGCUCUGCCUGUCCUGUGUGGUCUGUGGGCGAGACCGUGAGUGAGUUCCGGGAGGGCUGGGCAGGCUCCCGUGAGGUCGUGAGCCUCUGGGUGGUCCCUGGGUGUGGCCCAGGGCAGGUGUCCCUGGGUUGAGGUGCCCCCAGGCUGGUCUGCUUCUGAGCCGUCAGCUGUUAGCUUCCAUUCCUCCCAGGCAGAAGGGUGCUUGGGGAAGGGGCUUUGUCCCAACCCGUGGAUUUAAACUGGAUUCCCUCGGUUUAUAGGGUUUGAAGAAAAUGGAGUUUUGAAAGAACAUUGAGAGGGAGAAGUGUGUGUCUCUUACACGGGAAAACCGUGUGUUUUAAACCGUGCCUUCAUCUCAUUAGUGUAAAAUGCGCACGUAGGUGGCGUGAGGGGUGCGGGUGCGUGGGGCAGAGGAGGCAUGCGGGGUGCAGUGAUGUGGCCCCUGGAGGAGGGCAGGGCACAUGCCAGGGUCCUGCCCCCUGGGCAGCAGCACCACGCAGCCUGUCAGGGUCUCAGGGACGGUCACGUGACUAUGAUGCAGAGACAGGAGGCCCCGCAGGGGGUGCCCCUCGCAGAGGGGUGGCUGUGGGUGGGCAGUGCGCCUCCUUCUGGGCAGUGGUGGCUUCAGGAAUGACCUAGGGCUCAGACUCUGGCCCCCACAGGGGUGCUGGUGGCAUCAACAGAGCCGCUGGGUCUCCAGAAGCUUCUCUCCAUCACAGUGCCGAGGGUGUUUCAUGAAGUCUGUGUGGAGUGGGUGCUGGGCGGGCCUCGCACCUGCUGAGAGGCUUAUUUACUGGCUGACGACCCUUCCCUCCAGGAAACUUUGUGGGCUCCUGUUCAUUCAUCCUGCUCGUUCUAUUGCCUGUUGGUGACACACGUGUCAUGCGUGCUCCUUGGCUCAGCGCUUUUGUACUUGUGUGUUGACUCUUGUUCAAGCAUUGAGAGCAUUUGGGGAAUAUUUCUCUAGUUGUGUGUUGAAGUACAUCAUUCCUUUGUUAGGAAGGAUAUGUAAGCAUUAGAUACUGUCUAAGUGACCUUUUUGUCUCGCUCAUUUCACAGGAGGAAACAGCUGGGUGCCAUGGGCUUUGUGGGGAGGUGAGAUAUGCCAUUUCUUCCCAUUUUAACUUUGCUUUGGAGAAAAUUUCAACAGACACAGAGAAUAGUUCAGGACGGGACUGCCCAUGGGGUACGUGCCAGUCUCAGUGCAGCAAGCCGCCCAAGUAAACUAGAAGCAUGCUCCACGCUGCCCUACAGAGUUAAUAGUGAUCUCUUAAUGUCAUCACAGAUCCAGCCUGAGACCCAGUUUCUUUCUGUGGUAGGUCAAGUUGGGAUACACGCAGGGGUGGGAGAACAGUUCCAGUCCAGAUCUACACACGGGCCAGGAGAAUAGAUCAUGCUCAUGUCUACACACGGGCCAGGAGAAUAGUUCAUGCCCACGUCUACACACAGGCCAGGAGAAUAGUUAAUGCCCAUGUCUAUCCCUGGGCCAGGAAAAUGGUUUAUGCCCACGUCUACCCCUGGGCCAGGAGAAUAGAUCAUGCCCAUGUCUGCACACGGGCCAGGAGAAUAGUUCGUGCCCACGUCUACACCUGGGCCAGGAAAAUGGUUUAGGUCCAUGUCUGCACGCAGGACAAGAGAAUAGUUCAUGCCCACGUCUACACCUGGGCCAGGAAAAUGGUUUAGGUCCAUGUCUGCACACAGGACAAGGGAAUAGUUCAUGCCCAUGUCUACAUAUGGGACAGGAGAAUAGUUCAGGUCCACGUCUACACCUGGGCUGGGAGAAUGGUUCAGUUUCGUGCCUACACAUGGGACAGGAAAAUAGUUCAGGUCCAUGCCUACACCAGGGCAGGAGAAUAGUUCAGGUCCACAUCUACACACGGGCCGGAAGAAUAGUUCAGGUUCAUGCCUGUAACCGGGACAGAAUAGUCAAUGUCUACCCAUGGGCUGGGAGAAUAGUUCAGGUUCGUGUCUACACCCAGGACAGGAGAAUAGUCCGUCUACACAUGUGCUGGGAGAAUAGUUCAGGUCCACGUCUACCCAUGGGCUGGGAGAAUAGUUGAGGUUCGUGUCUACACCCAGGACAGGAGAAUAGCCCAUGUCAGUUCCUGGGCCGGGAGGAUAUUUUCAGGCAGUAUUUGCCACCUUCUGCCCUCUUCCCUCAGGCUUUCCUUGCAGACAGAUAUUCCAUGAAGCCUUGCUGGGCGUCUCCUGGGUGCCAUGGUCAUUGUUCCCAAAAUAGCAGGGACGCGCUGUUCUUCCUCUGUGAACAGGUUUUUAUCUGGGCCACAAAUAUCUCGCACCUGUUUGAGAAGCAGUGUCACUCAUCAAAAGAGUUGUUUACCCAGGGCCUGUGAGAUUGGGUUACUUUGCAGGUUACUUCGCUCUGGAGUUUGGUUGUGAGAAUAGUUCUCUGAACACGUAAGCCUGAUUUCCUGUUUUAGAGAUAAGUGUCCCAUGUAGAAGUGGCCCUUACGUUGGGGGCACGGAGCAGGGAAGGGAAGCGGGAGUCAGCUGUCGUGUGCUCACUGUUGGUUGUGCAGGCAGUCUUGCUCUUUCUGGCAAAGCAAAAGCUCUGUUCAUAGCAUUUUUUAAAAUCGUAAGAGACCUGUGGUUGUUUUCAAUAUAGUUUGAAUGUCUUCAAUUAUCAGUUGAAUUUGUUUUUAAUACUGCGUUUGUGUUCUUUGGAUAAUACUGCUUAUUUUUUUCUGUAGGUGUAUCCAUUUUUUGAUGAUUAAAAUAUAUAUCACAUUUCCCAUAGAAUUCUGUGGAUUUUUAGAAAAACCUGGAAAUAGUUUCUUAAAAACUUCUAUUGACUUUACCAUUUAGCGCAUGGCAGAUUGAACAGAAUUCGAUCUGUAAAGCAGAGUUUACUCAGGCAGCAUGGGGAACAGUGGUGUGUAGGGAGGUCCUGUGCAUCAUCACAGUGAAAACACGUGGAUGAAGUGUGAGCUGCACCUGCCACAUAUCCACGUACGUGCUCAUGGCUCAGGUUGACCUUCCUUCCCACUCAGCAGGAACCCGAGGCCCAGUGCUCAGCUCCCCAGGCGGGGCGGGAGGAGGAGCUGGAGCUGCUGGAGUGUAAGCCAGAAGCCUCCCUGGAGCAGCAGGUCACACCGUUACAGGUACUGGGUUAGGAGCCACAGUUCCGUUUUAUUGUUAUCUUUCCUCAUCUGCAAAGAAUAUUUUAGUCUAAAUUAAUUUUGGUAUGCAGAAU